RNAcentral lists this ribosomal RNA (465 nucleotides) under Vreelandella stevensii. Its description in RNAcentral is "partial 16S ribosomal RNA". It matches the Rfam family "Bacterial small subunit ribosomal RNA", at positions 338 to 795 of the family's 1533-position model. The record is from RNAcentral. Lineage: Bacteria; Pseudomonadati; Pseudomonadota; Gammaproteobacteria; Oceanospirillales; Halomonadaceae.
CCUACGUGAGGCAGCAGUGGGGAAUAUUGGACAAUGGGCGAAAGCCUGAUCCAGCCAUGCCGCGUGUGUGAAGAAGGCCUUCGGGUUGUAAAGCACUUUCAGUGGGGAAGAAAGCCUUGGGGCUAAUACCCUCGAGGAAGGACAUCACCCACAGAAGAAGCACCGGCUAACUCCGUGCCAGCAGCCGCGGUAAUACGGAGGGUGCGAGCGUUAAUCGGAAUUACUGGGCGUAAAGCGCGCGUAGGCGGUCUGAUAAGCCGGUUGUGAAAGCCCCGGGCUCAACCUGGGAACGGCAUCCGGAACUGUCAGGCUAGAGUGCAGGAGAGGAAGGUAGAAUUCCCGGUGUAGCGGUGAAAUGCGUAGAGAUCGGGAGGAAUACCAGUGGCGAAGGCGGCCUUCUGGACUGACACUGACGCUGAGGUGCGAAAGCGUGGGUAGCAAACAGGAUUAGAUACCCCAGUAGUC